This 329-nucleotide ribosomal RNA is filed under the name uncultured eukaryote. Its description in RNAcentral is "partial 18S ribosomal RNA". It matches the Rfam family "Eukaryotic small subunit ribosomal RNA", at positions 1470 to 1796 of the family's 1831-position model. The record is from RNAcentral.
CCCUUAGAUGUCCUGGGCCGCACGCGCGCUACACUGAGUGUCUGAGAUACGAGUCUGCCUGGUCCGGCAAGGUCUAGGUAAUCGCUAAAAGACACAUCAUGCUUGGGAUAGAUUAUUGCAAUUAUUAAUCUUGAACGAGGAAUUCCCAGUAAGCGCAAGUCAACAGCUUGCGUUGAUUACGUCCCUGCCCUUUGUACACACCGCCCGUCGCUACUACUGAUUGGAUGUUUAAGCGAGGUUCUCGAACUGCUAGCGACUUAGCUUCGGUGAGGUCGCAGUGUGGGAAGUGAACCUAGCUUUGGUGUCUAGAGGAAGUAAAAGUCGUAACA